RNA transcript from Harmonia axyridis, 510 nucleotides. RefSeq lists it as uncharacterized. The record is from RefSeq and is a predicted model, not a curated record. Lineage: Eukaryota; Metazoa; Arthropoda; Insecta; Coleoptera; Coccinellidae. The transcript is spliced from 3 exons.
GAACGACCAAACAGAAAAGACUCAAAAAUAAGUUGUCAAAUAUGAAAAAAUCAAUUAAUUGUACAAUUUCCAAGCAUAUCAAUGAACGAAACACAAGGAAGAAUCUUCAAAAUGCUCGAAAACACUCUCGGAGAAAACAUUUGGUUGGGAGAGGUGCUAUCAAAACAUCAUCACAUUCCUCAUGAAAGAGAAAAACGAGAAAGAAAAAACUGUGAGAGAACUUCUGGGCACUGUUAGUGAAGGAAAUUUCAGUGAAAAUGGACAAGAUGCUUCAAUUGUUUGGAGCUUACUUGCUUAUUUGGUGCCUACGAUGGUUGCCAUUACUGGACAAAGAACACAUCCAAAUAUAAAAUUGAAGAUUCUCAGGGAUCAUUCCUGUUUGUUGGAAGGUAGAUUCAGGAAGUGGAAGAUCAUAUAGAAUAUUAGAAAACAAGAUUAACAACCCCAUACAUCCAUUCAUAAAAGGCAUUGCAUCGGAGAUGAUAUAAAACUUAUACAUGAAUUGUUUGU